RNAcentral lists this ribosomal RNA (329 nucleotides) under Allobates aff. masniger/nidicola AR-202. RNAcentral describes it as "partial large subunit ribosomal RNA". It matches the Rfam family "Bacterial large subunit ribosomal RNA", at positions 1980 to 2469 of the family's 2925-position model. Lineage: Eukaryota; Metazoa; Chordata; Amphibia; Anura; Aromobatidae. The record is from RNAcentral.
AUGAGGACUAGUAUGAACGGCUUCACGAAAGCUAUACUGUCUCCUUUAUCUAAUCAGUUAAACUAAUCUCCCCGUGAAGAAGCGGGGAUACCCAUAUAAGACGAGAAGACCCUAUGGAGCUUUAAAUAUCUUUAGACAUUUGAAUAUACACAACUCUUAAACCACUAAAUUAAUCAUUUUGUCUUAAGUUUUAGGUUGGGGCGACCACGGAGAAAAAACCAACCUCCACAUGGAAAGAAACUCCCUUCUAAGCAAAAAGCUACAUCUUUAUGCAUCAACACAUUGACCUUAAUUGACCCAAUUGAUUGAUCAACGAACCAAGUUACCCU